Molecule: ribosomal RNA, 255 nt
Filed under: Escherichia coli
Lineage: Bacteria; Pseudomonadati; Pseudomonadota; Gammaproteobacteria; Enterobacterales; Enterobacteriaceae
Also listed under: 1 other name
Description: partial 16S ribosomal RNA
Rfam family: Bacterial small subunit ribosomal RNA
Source: RNAcentral
AAAUUGAAGAGUUUGAUCAUGGCUCAGAUUGAACGCUGGCGGCAGGCCUAACACAUGCAAGUCGAACGGUAACAGGAAACAGCUUGCUGUUUCGCUGACGAGUGGCGGACGGGUGAGUAAUGUCUGGGAAACUGCCUGAUGGAGGGGGAUAACUACUGGAAACGGUAGCUAAUACCGCAUAAUGUCGCAAGACUAAAGAGGGGGACCUUCGGGCCUCUUGCCAUCGGAUGUGCCCAGAUGGGAUUAGCUAGUAGG